UCGUCAUCCGACCACCAAAUCGGAUGAAUUAGGCACCCGGGCACCAGGUGACCCGCAGGAGGGACCUUCAAAGGGUCCAGCUAGCUCAGAGUAUCUGUGAGUGGACUGUUUGUUUUAUAAACG
This is a non-coding RNA of Prunus avium (sweet cherry), 123 nucleotides long. Lineage: Eukaryota; Viridiplantae; Streptophyta; Magnoliopsida; Rosales; Rosaceae. The record is from RefSeq and is a predicted model, not a curated record.